GGAUUAGUUUGAUCCUGGCUCAGGAUGAACGCUAGCGGCAGGCUUAACACAUGCAAGUCGAGGGGUAGGUUACUUCGGUAACUGAGACCGGCGCACGGGUGCGUAACGCGUAUACAAUCUACCUUUUACAGAGGGAUAGCCCAGAGAAAUUUGGAUUAAUACCUCAUAGUAUUUUCGGAUGGCAUCAUUUGAUUAUUAAAGUUCCAACGGUAAAAGAUGAGUAUGCGUCCCAUUAGCUAGAUGGUAAGGUAACGGCUUACCCAUGGCAACGAUGGGUAGGGGUCCUGAGAGGGAGAUCCCCCACACUGGUACUGAGACACGGACCAGACUCCUACGGGAGGCAGCAGUGAGGAAUAUUGGACAAUGGGCGCAAGCCUGAUCCAGCCAUGCCGCGUGCAGGAAGAAGGUCCUAUGGAUUGUAAACUGCUUUUAUACAGGAAGAAACACCUCUACGUGUAGAGACUUGACGGUACUGUAUGAAUAAGGACCGGCUAACUCCGUGCCAGCAGCCGCGGUAAUACGGAGGGUCCAAGCGUUAUCCGGAAUCAUUGGGUUUAAAGGGUGCGCAGGCGGAUCAAUAAGUCAGGGGUGAAAAAUUUCAGCUUAACUGGAAUCGUGCCUUUGAUACUGUUGGACUAGAGUAUAAUUGACGUGACUGGAAUGUGAUGUGUAGCGGUGAAAUGCUUAGAUAUGUCACAGAACGCCAAUCGUGAAGACAGGUCACGAAAUUAUUACUGACGCUCAUGCACGAAAGCGUGGGGAUCAAACAGGAUUAGAUACCCUGGUAGUCC
This 791-nucleotide ribosomal RNA is filed under the name bacterium C27. Its description in RNAcentral is "bacterial SSU rRNA". It matches the Rfam family "Bacterial small subunit ribosomal RNA", at positions 1 to 796 of the family's 1533-position model. The record is from RNAcentral.